GGCCGUCUAGCUCAGUUGGUUAGAGCGUCGUGCUAAUAUGGGAUAUAGAAUUUGUCCUGUUACGCGAAGGUCUUGGGUUCGACCCCCACGAUGGCCA
Favolaschia claudopus is the source of this 97-nucleotide non-coding RNA. NCBI's taxonomy places the organism in Eukaryota, Fungi, Basidiomycota, Agaricomycetes, Agaricales, Mycenaceae. The record is from the annotation of a GenBank genome assembly.